CUAAUACAUGCAAGUCGAACGGGGAAAGUAGCAAUAUGAGUACUAGUGGCGCACGGGUGAGGAAUACAUGGGUAAUCUGCCCUCAAGUUCGGGAUAACCAGUCGAAAGAUUGGCUAAUACCGGAUAAGACCACAGGAUCUGCGGAUCUAGGGGUCAAAGUUUUUCGCUUGAGGAUGAGCCCAUGUGGGAUUAGCUAGUUGGUGAGGUAAUGGCUCACCAAGGCUACGAUCCCUAACUGGUCUUAGAGGAUGAUCAGUCACACUGGAACUGAGACACGGACCAGUCUCCUACGGGAGGCAGCAGUGAGGAAUAUUGGACAAUGGGCGCAAGCCUGAUCCAGCCAUGCCGCGUGCAGGAUGACGGUCCUAUGGAUUGUAAACUGCUUUUAUACGAGAAGAAACACUACUUCGUGAAGUAGCUUGACGGUAUCGUAAGAAUAAGGAUCGGCUAACUCCGUGCCAGCAGCCGCGGUAAUACGGAGGAUCCAAGCGUUAUCCGGAAUCAUUGGGUUUAAAGGGUCCGUAGGCGGUUUAAUAAGUCAGUGGUGAAAGCCCAUCGCUCAACGGUGGAACGGCCAUUGAUACUGUUAAACUUGAAUUAUUAGGAAGUAACUAGAAUAUGUAGUGUAGCGGUGAAAUGCUUAGAGAUUACAUGGAAUACCAAUUGCGAAGGCGGGUUACUACUAAUGGAUUGACG
This 696-nucleotide ribosomal RNA is filed under the name uncultured soil bacterium. RNAcentral describes it as "bacterial SSU rRNA". It matches the Rfam family "Bacterial small subunit ribosomal RNA", at positions 48 to 745 of the family's 1533-position model. The record is from RNAcentral.